This 497-nucleotide ribosomal RNA is filed under the name uncultured bacterium. RNAcentral's name for it is "partial 16S ribosomal RNA". It matches the Rfam family "Bacterial small subunit ribosomal RNA", at positions 28 to 507 of the family's 1533-position model. The record is from RNAcentral.
GAUGAACGCUGGCGGCGUGCCUAAUACAUGCAAGUCGAGCGAACAGACGAGGAGCUUGCUCCUCUGACGUUAGCGGCGGACGGGUGAGUAACACGUGGAUCACCUACCUAUAAGACUGGGAUAACUUCGGGAAACCGGAGCUAAUACCGGAUAAUAUAUUGAACCGCAUGGUUCAAUAGUGAAAGACGGUUUUGCUGUCACUUAUAGAUGGAUCCGCGCCGCAUUAGCUAGUUGGUAAGGUAACGGCUUACCAAGGCAACGAUGCGUAGCCGACCUGAGAGGGUGAUCGGCCACACUGGAACUGAGACACGGUCCAGACUCCUACGGGGGGCAGCAGUAGGGAAUCUUCCGCAAUGGGCGAAAGCCUGACGGAGCAACGCCGCGUGAGUGAUGAAGGUCUUCGGAUCGUAAAACUCUGUUAUUAGGGAAGAACAAAUGUGUAAGUAACUAUGCACGUCUUGACGGUACCUAAUCAGAAAGCCACGGCUAACUACGUG